Melanotaenia boesemani (Boeseman's rainbowfish) is the source of this 559-nucleotide long non-coding RNA. RefSeq lists it as uncharacterized. NCBI's taxonomy places the organism in Eukaryota, Metazoa, Chordata, Actinopteri, Atheriniformes, Melanotaeniidae. The transcript has 3 exons. The record is from RefSeq and is a predicted model, not a curated record.
CAACUGUGGAAAAAAAAGUAAAUUACACUUUAAGUUGCUUACAUUAUCAUGUCUGCAGGUCACUAACUGCACUUGAAGGGAGCAAAGAUGAAACUCACAUCCUCACUCAGAGGGACAUGAUGUGUUGAGGUGUGACCAGUUACAGCUGCUGGAUUUUGGCAAACUGUGGUUUUAUGGAUGAAGAGACCUGCAGUGACGUUUGAAGGAAGGUUUACUGUGUUGAUAAAACGCUGGAAGCUUCAGAUGCAGCAGCACAGCGACACCUGCUGGUUUCCAUCACUUACAGCAGCUCUUCAUCACUGAUGCUGAAGCAUUUCAACACCUUACCAAAUUUCAUCAUUUUCAAUGUAAAAGUUUUCAUCCUAAAGUAUAAAAUACUUUAGUCCAGACACAGUUAAUGUAAAUGUAUUCAUUUAGAUAUAAAAACUGUUUAAUUGCCAUAUUUUUCAUUCCUGACUUGAUUAAAUCAAACUGACAUGAUGAAUUAUUAAUAUUCUUCAUUUAACUGCAGUUCUGACGUAACAUCUUCAGGUAGGAACUGCAGUAAAAUUACUUUUUG